CAUCCUCCAAGGCUAAAUACUCCUGACUGACCGAUAGUGAACCAGUACCGUGAGGGAAAGGCGAAAAGAACCCCGGCGAGGGGAGUGAAAAAGAACCUGAAACCGUGUACGUACAAGCAGUGGGAGCACAGAGCAAUCUGUGUGACUGCGUACCUUUUGUAUAAUGGGUCAGCGACUUAUAUUCUGUAGCAAGGUUAACCGAAUAGGGGAGCCGAAGGGAAACCGAGUCUUAACCGGGCGUUAAGUUGCAGGGUAUAGACCCGAAACCCGGUGAUCUAGCCAUGGGCAGGUUGAAGGUUGGGUAACACUAACUGGAGGACCGAACCGACUAAUGUUGAAAAAUUAGCGGAUGACUUGUGGCU
RNAcentral lists this ribosomal RNA (362 nucleotides) under Escherichia coli. RNAcentral describes it as "bacterial LSU rRNA". It matches the Rfam family "Bacterial large subunit ribosomal RNA", at positions 454 to 816 of the family's 2925-position model. Lineage: Bacteria; Pseudomonadati; Pseudomonadota; Gammaproteobacteria; Enterobacterales; Enterobacteriaceae. The record is from RNAcentral.